AUCCAGCUCAUGACUCCCAAACAGGACGAAACGCGAGUCCUGGAU
Non-coding RNA from Schistosoma rodhaini, 45 nucleotides. Lineage: Eukaryota; Metazoa; Platyhelminthes; Trematoda; Strigeidida; Schistosomatidae. The record is from Rfam.